UGACCUCGGAUCAGUAGAGCCCACU
RNAcentral lists this ribosomal RNA (25 nucleotides) under Alternaria alternata. Its description in RNAcentral is "partial 28S ribosomal RNA". The record is from RNAcentral. Lineage: Eukaryota; Fungi; Ascomycota; Dothideomycetes; Pleosporales; Pleosporaceae.